This is a non-coding RNA of Acanthosepion pharaonis, 114 nucleotides long. NCBI's taxonomy places the organism in Eukaryota, Metazoa, Mollusca, Cephalopoda, Sepiida, Sepiidae. The record is from the annotation of a GenBank genome assembly.
UAUGGUCAUAUCACGUUGAAAUACCAGUUCUCAUAUGAUCACUGAAACUAAGCAACAUUGAGCUUGGUCAGGUACCUAGAUGGGUAACUGCUUGAGAAUACCAGGUGCUGUAAG